AAAUAAAAAUACAUUAAAUAAAGUCCAAAAUUUUAAACAAUCCAUGGCCCAAUUACAAUACCCAAAUGACCCAUCAACAAAAAUGAACCCAAGCCUAAGACCCAAAACAUAAUAUCCCUAAGCCCAAUUUAUGGCCCAACAUUUAGACACCCUCAGAAACCCUAGGUUACGCUAGGUGCGCCGCAACCUAGCCUCCGUACGGCCUCCAGCUCGCCUCUGUACCCACUGCUCCAUGUCACCAGUCGUACCUGCAAGUAAAAUAAAAGGACUAUGGCAGCAAUAAUAGAAAAACAGCAGAGCAAAAAAGAAAAAAAGUUUGUAUUUUUUACAUUAUUUUUUUCUCUCGGCUAUAAAGCCCAAGAGAAAUAACCCCUUAAUUUUAAAAUAAUCCCUUAAUUUUUUCUCUCGGACUAUGAAAGCACGGCCUUUUUAUUAAAAUAACCCCUUAAUUUUAAUUAAGUACCAAAAUGACCCACUUUUUUAAUUAAACACUAAAAUGACUUGAAAUUUACAGUAAAAUUUGGUGGAGCCAAAUUAUAUGGCGCCACCAACUUCCCACAUCAGCAGGGAGCAUAAAAAAUUAAUUUUUGGGUGGAGCCGUGUGGAAUGGCGCCACCUGUAUAAAUAUUAGGAAAAUACUAGAAAUUUUUGAAAACAUGAGAGGACUUCAAAAAAAUUAACCAUUUUUCUGGUGGAGCCAACUUAAAUGGCACCACUAAAUUCUGCCAUGUCAGUCCUUUUUUUUUACUUUUCUUUUGUCUUUUUUUCUUAUUUAUUUAUUUUAUUUUAUUUAUUAUUAUUAACUUUAAAAAUUUUGAAAUAUAUAUUUGAAAUAUUUUAUUAAUAUAUAUUUUUAAAAUUUUAAAUAUAUAUUUUGAAAUUACUUUUUUAAAUUUUAAAUAUUUAAAUAUUUUAAACUUUCAAAUUUGUUAUUAGUUUUAUAAUAAUUUAAAUAUUAUUUAAUUUGUUUUAUAAUAUUUUAAAUGAUGAUUUUUAAAUUAUUUUUAAAGAUAUUCAAACCAUUUUUUAAAUUCUAUUUAAAAGUUAAAAAUAAUAUUUUAUUUUAAAAAGUGAAAUUUGAAUUAAUAAAAAAUUUUAAAAAUAUUUUUCAUUUUCUAGAAAUACUGCAAGUUUUGAAAAAAUGGGGACUUAAAAAUAAUUUUUUUAACUCUCCUAUUGGAAUAUAUUUUUUAAUUUUUUAUUAGUUCAAAUUUCACUUUUUAAAAUAAAAUAUUAUUUUUAACUUUUAAAUAGAAUUUAAAAAAUGGUUUGAAUAUCUUUAAAAAUAAUUUAAAAAUCAUCAUUUAAAAUAUUAUAAAACAAAUUAAAUAAUAUUUAAAUUAUUAUAAAACUAAUAACAAAUUUGAAAGUUUAAAAUAUUUAAAUAUUUAAAAAUAAUAUUUAAAAUUUUAAAAAGUAAUUUCAAAAUAUUUAUUUAAAAUUUAAAAAAUAUAUAUUAAUAAAAUAUUUUAAAUAUAUAUUUAAAAAUUUUUAAAGUUAAUAAUAAUACAUAAAAGAAAAGAAAAGAAAAAAAGACAAAAGAAAAGUAAAAAAAAAAAACAAGGACUGACAUGGCAGAAUCUGGUGGCGCCAUUUAAGUUGGCUCCACCAGAAAAAUGGUUAAUUGUUUUGAAGUCCUCCAUGUUUUCAAAAAUUUCAGUAUUUCCUUGAUAUUUAUACAGGUGGAGCUAUUCUACAUGGCUCCACCCAAAAAUUAAUUUUUUAUGCUCCCUGCUGACGUGGCAAGUUGGUGGCGCUAUAUAAUUUGACUCCACCAACUUUUACUGUAGAUUUCAGGUCAUUUUGGUAUUUAAUUAAACAAGUGGGUCAUUUUGAUACUUAAUUAAAAUUAAGGGGUUAUUUUAAUAAAAAGGCCAUGAACGCACACAAGCAAAUCAAUAAAACAAAAACUGAAGUUUAAAAGGUUUUUUGUUGGUUCUUUUCUCAUUUUCUUUUAUUGUCUGUUUAUUGUAUUUCCUUUUUUUUAGCAAAUCUAUUUUAAAAUAAACUAAAGGGGAAGGAGGAGAGACUCACUUGAUUUCCCCGCGGUUGCGACGCCGGUGGGUCUUUCUUCGUCAUCGAAAUCAAACCCAAAAGGGAGUCAAGCUCUAUCUCCUUUCGAUUCUUCGGGUUUUGGUGGCUUAGCCUUCAAAGGCGCUUCAAAGCGGGGCUAAAAAGUCCCUUUCGCUCAACGCCAGCCAUUGGCCAUGACUGCAGCGCGGUGGACUGCCAAGAACCCUUUCGGCCGGAGACAAGAGGAAAGGAUGAGAGGGUUUCAAAGGUUUUCUUUUAGUUUUUUUUUAAGGAGGGUUG
RNAcentral lists this long non-coding RNA (2313 nucleotides) under Gossypium barbadense (sea-island cotton). RNAcentral's name for it is "long non-coding RNA (GBAR_LNC007716)". The record is from RNAcentral. Lineage: Eukaryota; Viridiplantae; Streptophyta; Magnoliopsida; Malvales; Malvaceae.